GAAGAGAACUAUGUACUUUAAACUCGCUCAGAAUAACAGCUGUCUUUGGAAAGAUGAAGGACAUAGAGAACUGCUGAGGUCAGUGCUAAUGACAGCAAGCAACAUAUGUGCAAUAACCAAACCAUGGCCUGUUCAGAAGUGGAUGAGCUUCUCCCACACACAUUUACAUGCAUGCAUGCAGCUUGCUGAACUUGUAGCAACAGAAUUUUAUGCACAAGGAGACAGAGAAAAGUGUGAAUUCAACAUUCAGCCAAAUGAUAUGAUGGACUGUAAAAACUCCAUACAUUUACCCCACAUGCAGGUUGAUUAUAUCGACGGGAUUUGCUCUCCGCUCUGAGGCCUUGGCCAGCAUUUGUGAGUCCUGUUCCCCUCUAAAAGAAGGUUGCAGAAGGAACAGAAAACACUGGCAACAGCUGGUAGACAGCGGAGAGGAAGAAGAAAGGAUAAAUAUGAAAGGAAAAACAGAUGGAUAAAGGAAAGAAGCAAGUUAAAGCUAAACUCUUUUGGUGAACCAUGCAUAGAGUGGACCAGCAAGACUCAAAGUUGUAUCUGAUAUUCAGAUUAUUACUAUGUAUUAUGAAAUGAAAUCCAUUAAGCAUUUCUCAUUCACAAAGAUAUGAUUUUAACCCUCACUAUCUGGCUGCCUGUCAAGCCUAAAACAAAGAAAAAAGGAAAAACAUGAAGAAUUUAACUAAUCAGUUCAAUAAUAUGAAAGAGAUGCAAUUCAAUGCACAUUGUUGGUAAACAUAUAUCAACACUUAUAUAGUUUAACACAACCAGUCAUGUCCAUCUAUACUUGCCAUUCUUGAUUUUUAAAUGAGCCACUUACUUUAUGUUGGAAAUAUCACAAGUUACACAAGACUAGUUCCUGGUUGGCUUUGUCACACUUGUGAAACAUUACUAAAUCAUUUUAU
Molecule: long non-coding RNA, 914 nt
Organism: Sinocyclocheilus anshuiensis
Lineage: Eukaryota; Metazoa; Chordata; Actinopteri; Cypriniformes; Cyprinidae
Exons: 5
Source: RefSeq, a predicted model, not a curated record